CCAGCUCGCUGCCCUUUGUCUUGUUAAGACCAUUUAGCGGUUUUGUGUAAUGAAUGAACAGGUCAAAAGUGCGCGGAAAGGCAGGCGGAGCAUUAUGCUGGUAAGGAGAAGUUUGAUGAAAGUCAGAAGUAUGUUAAAAAUGGAUAUGAGGACUUGAGUAUAUUUCUUCAAAAAGAUGGUGAGAGAUGUUCUCCGGACCAAGCCUUGCGGAGAAAAAAAUCUUGCAGUAAUAUUUGGGCACUCCUGAUAAAAGUUCCACUUCGCGACAUAUUUGUGGGGACAAGAUCUGAGUCUUGCUGCAGCGGCAGUGCCAGGUGUUACACUUUUUGUUGCAGGUGACCAUAACACACUGAAGGCGGCUGUAAUUUGACACAGAUGGCUCAUAAACUGACACACAAAGAUUUGGCAACAUCAGAGAUGUGGAAACAGUAAAAGGGAUGUUCCUCUCCAGAGCUUGAGCUUGACAACUCAUACAUAUCUCCUUUUUGUUUGAAAUAUCCUGUUUAAUUGGUCAAUUUAUGUCAUAUUUACUUAUAUUUUGACACAUUAUAGACUAAAUAAUAUCCUUACAACUGAAGACAGGUCUCAGUAUGCUUGAAUAUAAUUUAUGAAUAAUAUUAAAGAAAGUUAUUUUACAAAUACAAACGUAAACAUUUUAAUAUUUGUUGAAGACGAUCCAGAGCAGGACAUGAACGUCCUCACUGAUUAUUAUUAUGUCCCUGAACGCAGCAGUCAGAGCCACCUACAUGUGAAAACGUUGAGAAGUAAUAAUACAUUACAGUUUCUGUUUUCACAGCCUGCUCACGUGUCUGAAAAAUAAAACUGAUGGCAGAGAGGUUUGGUUGGAGUUGAAUUUAUGGUCUGGUUGAUUCUCAGCUCAUUUUAAAGCAACAGCUCCACCUGCUGGACAAACAUUCAAAGCUUGAUCCAAACAGCAGCCGAGCUCUUAUCCAGCUGCUUCAAAGUGA
Long non-coding RNA from Labrus bergylta (ballan wrasse), 968 nucleotides. RefSeq lists it as uncharacterized. The record is from RefSeq and is a predicted model, not a curated record. NCBI's taxonomy places the organism in Eukaryota, Metazoa, Chordata, Actinopteri, Labriformes, Labridae.